AGCACUCACACAAACUGAAGGGCCCGGUCUCACUCCUACCGUGCCCCCCACAACAGCCCUGAGUCUGUUUCCAGGUGGUGGGCGAGAGGGGUUUGAAAAUUUGCCCCAGGCUAUCCGCCUCCCAGCUGGGCAAGAAAAGGGCGUGGUUGUUCCCCCACUGAGGAGUCUGCACACCGGAUUUGCAUCUUCCCCUGAGUUCUGGCCUGGAGGCUUCUCGCCCCUGCAAAUUGUUACAAAGUUCAGCUAGAGGGUUCCUUCUUCCUGUGGAGUUUUACCUUCUGCUCCUCUGGCCACCCUCCUGAUGGAUCCCUGUGGUGCCAGGCAGGAAUGACCUGCUUAAGGACCCAGCGAGCUCCCAGGACCUUUCUGCUGCUUCCUCUACCCGUAUAUUUUGCUUGCUUCUCUACAUUGACUCAGCUCCAGCGAUUCCUGAGGAAUCUCAUCCACACUACCCUAUGGACUAAAAGGAAAAGCUCUUCAUGUGGUGUUAGCACGGAGAUGAGAAAGAGAGAAAGACAACAUCAUGCUUUGCUGUCUGUGUGUGAACUGAGUAACAGCUGUGAAGGAUCAGUCACCAAAAGACUUUGAAAGAAGAGGCUUGAUUGGUCACGGUAAUGAUGCUCCCCUGGCCAUGGAAGUUUAAUUGGGAGAAAAGAACAUCUGCUUAUACGAAAACAUAUUAUAUUCAGCCAUCCCUGCCCUGACUUUGGCCUUUAAAAACAGUGGCAUUAAUUAUCUCAACAAAUGAAUCUUCGGGAUAAAAAUAAUCUAAAUAUUAUUUUACGCUUACUACAUAUUUGCAACGUGCUAAGCUCUUUAUGGUUGCUACCACAAAAAACAUUUAUAAUAUGAGGUUGUUUCCGUAUUUUGGCUAUUGUGAAUAGUGCUGCAAUAAACAUGGAAGUGCUGAUAUAUCUUUGAGAUCUUGACUUCAAACAAAAGAAGAAAAUCUUGCAAUAUAUGACAACACGGAUUAACCUGGAGGACAUUGUGCUUAGUGAAGUUAGCCAGUCACAGACUGACAAGUACUGCACGAUUCCACUUAUGAAGACUACAGUUCCUAUCUUCACAGGUGGCUGUUAGCUCUAAAUGAACUCAUUUAUUUUGAAAGCAUGAUUUAAAGUAUAGUUUUAAACUAUAAGCAUUUCAGAAGUGAUGACCCAUGACUCAAAUCUCAAAAAUAAAUGCUACAGUUCACAGUUGGAAUAUGGACACAAGAAAAAUAAUAGAUGAUGCCACUGAAAGGUAAACAUACCAUUCUGACAUGCAUGAAAAUGAAACGACAAAUUGAUACACGCAGUGCUUGGAAUGGAUGGAGUCCUUCUAAUGAGUGAUUACCUGUGGUAUAACUAUAUUGAUUGUGUUUGUACAUGUCAAAUGGGGCUGGCGAGGAUGAACUUGAAGAAAUCAAUCUUGGAACCUGCUAGGACAGCAGCCUCCUGGUUUCACAGUACUAAAUCAUGACUUCAAAAUUUUGAAGUAAAAGAAAACUGCAAAACUUUGUAAAGUGGCAGCUCUAAAUAUCAGUUGGACUGGUACUGAAGAAAAAACAGGACAAAAAGGCCAGAAGGGUA
Molecule: long non-coding RNA, 1574 nt
Filed under: Homo sapiens (human)
Lineage: Eukaryota; Metazoa; Chordata; Mammalia; Primates; Hominidae
Description: non-protein coding lnc-HDGFL1-2:3
Source: RNAcentral